RNAcentral lists this long non-coding RNA (474 nucleotides) under Rattus norvegicus (Norway rat). RNAcentral describes it as "long non-coding RNA NONRATT029625". The record is from RNAcentral. Lineage: Eukaryota; Metazoa; Chordata; Mammalia; Rodentia; Muridae.
ACCCAGGAAGCAGAGACGGCAAGCGCUGCCAGGAGAUCCAGAGAUACCAGUGUUAGAAGACUCAAGGCAGCAUGCUUUGUUUUGUCUGCCCAGGGGACUCAGGCAUUGCAGGCUGCCCAGAGGAGUGUCCAGUGGGCCAUAAAGCACGUGUCCAUGGAGAUCCAGCACAGACGGCAUGAAUGCCAAGCAGGACCUGGACGCCCUAGGCCUCAAGCCUCGGUCUUCCAGGACCCACCACCAGAGCCAGGUCCAUGUGGAGAAAGACGCCAAAGCGUUGCCAACACGACCCGGGCUCACGGCCGCAUAGUCGGUGGCAGCACGGCUCCAUUGGGAGCCUGGCCUUGGCUAGUGAGGCUGCAACUUGGGGGCCUGCCUCUGUGCGGGGGCGUUCUGGUGGCAGCGUCCUGGGUGCUCACGGCUGCACACUGCUUCGCCGGUGCCUCGAAUGAGCUUCUGUGGACUGUGAUGCUAGCC